GAUGAACGCUGGCGGCGUGCUUAACACAUGCAAGUCGAGCGAUGAAGUUUCCUUCGGGAAACGGAUUAGCGGCGGACGGGUGAGUAACACGUGGGUAACCUGCCUCAUAGAGUGGAAUAGCCUUCCGAAAGGAAGAUUAAUACCGCAUAAUGUUGAAAGAUGGCAUCAUCAUUCAACCAAAGGAGCAAUCCGCUAUGAGAUGGACCCGCGGCGCAUUAGCUAGUUGGUGGGGUAACGGCCUACCAAGGCGACGAUGCGUAGCCGACCUGAGAGGGUGAUCGGCCACAUUGGGACUGAGACACGGCCCAGACUCCUACGGGAGGCAGCAGUGGGGAAUAUUGCACAAUGGGGGAAACCCUGAUGCAGCAACGCCGCGUGAGUGAUGAAGGUUUUCGGAUCGUAAAGCUCUG
Molecule: ribosomal RNA, 410 nt
Filed under: uncultured bacterium
Lineage: Bacteria
Description: bacterial SSU rRNA
Rfam family: Bacterial small subunit ribosomal RNA
Source: RNAcentral